ACCUUACUUCCUAACUUACUCUUUAAUUGAAAUAAUUGUAUUAAUAAAUAUUAAAUUAAAAAUCUAUUUUUUCAGAUUUAUAAAAUCACCCUGCUCUUCUGGGAUAUCUCAAAUUUUAACUAAAAAUUAAUAACUUAAAUCUAAAUAACUCAGUUAAUUAAUUAAUUAAUUAAAAAACAACCCCACUAUAAUUUUAUUUAAAUUGAAAAUUAUUUAAAUAGUAAUUAAUUACAAAAUAACUAGGUUAAAUAAAAAACUUACUUUCUAAUUUAAUGGAAUCCCUAUUGUCGCAUUAAUUAAACCUCUCAAGUUUAGCUAUUUAAUCAAACGCUGGAGCUACAACCUAAUUCUAUUCUAUAACCUCGUCUAAAGUAAUUUUGAUCCAGACAAGCUGGAAAAUUAAGAAUGCACUAGACUCAAGUCUGG
RNAcentral lists this ribosomal RNA (426 nucleotides) under Cryptotympana atrata. RNAcentral describes it as "LSU rRNA". Lineage: Eukaryota; Metazoa; Arthropoda; Insecta; Hemiptera; Cicadidae. The record is from RNAcentral.